AGGGAGAAGAAGAUAAUUAAAAAGAAUUAGAGAGUGAUGCAUAUGCAAAUGAUAGGCAUCAGAUACCUACCAAACAGAAAUCUGAAUGGUUAACUUUAUAGAAAGUGGUUGUUGAAUUGAGAAUUAUGAAAGGCGAUGAGAAAAGAAUGGUGGCAAUGUAGCUAAAACUGCAAACGUGAUGGUGUGGAGAAGGGGUCCACC
This 201-nucleotide long non-coding RNA is filed under the name Vigna radiata. RNAcentral describes it as "long non-coding RNA (VRAD_LNC007478)". Lineage: Eukaryota; Viridiplantae; Streptophyta; Magnoliopsida; Fabales; Fabaceae. The record is from RNAcentral.